GGGUUGCUUUUGUGAAGCUCGCGGUUGAAUAGUGUUGGUUAUUAGUGGGCCCCCUCUGGUAAGCAGAGCUGGCGAUGCGGGAUGAUCCGAACGAGCGGUUAAAGUGCCUUUGUGUUGGCUCAUGUAGAUCCCAUAAAAGGUGUUGGUUCAUUUAGACAGCAGGACGGUGGCCAUGGAAGUCGGAAUCCGCUAAGGAGUGUGUAACAACCCACCUGCCGAAUGAAGUA
RNAcentral lists this ribosomal RNA (227 nucleotides) under Mantoniella antarctica. RNAcentral's name for it is "partial Eukaryotic large subunit ribosomal RNA". It matches the Rfam family "Eukaryotic large subunit ribosomal RNA", at positions 1084 to 1308 of the family's 3401-position model. Lineage: Eukaryota; Viridiplantae; Chlorophyta; Mamiellophyceae; Mamiellales; Mamiellaceae. The record is from RNAcentral.